GAGGCUGGGAAAGCUGCCCCACAUCCAGCCACAGCUGGAAAGCCCCACACUGUGAUCGAUACUGGGGUUGGAGCACAGCACAGGUCCCCUUCACCCCUUCUUCAAGGGCUGUGGCACAAAAGAAAUCAUAGAACUUGGCACAGCCGAGCCUUCUGGCGUCAGAACGAAGCAGGAAGGGCAAAGAUUAUAACCGGCUCACGUGUAAACAGGACCAAGCACAGAGGAGACGUCCAGGAAGCAUUUGCCAAAUGGAAGCUGAGUCUCAGAGAAGGACAGGACUUACCCAAGCCCACAAGGCCAGUGAGGGGCCACAGCGGGGAGAGGUUCUACAGGCUACAAUGGGGAACUGGAAGGUGAGCUGGGGACAAGGAGCCCAAGAAGAGCCCAAGGAGACAAGCCCCAUUUUACAGAUGAGAAAACCAAGGCUCAAAGAGGAAAGACACUUGCCUGUGGCCACUCAAUACAGAUGUGGUGGAGUGCAGCUCUCAGGCUUGGCCCAUCAGAAGCACAAGCGGGUGCUAAUGGCUGAACAUGGACCUGCCUGGGCUGUAUCAUGAGCCGAUUCACUCCCAACUACAGGAGAGGUACCGGGGAUUGAACUCAUGACCUCACACUUGCCAGAUCAGCGCCUGUACCACUGAGCUAAACCCCCAGGCCUUUGAUUGACUUCUUAGACCUUAUUUUCUCACACUGCAAAAAGAGUGAUUGGAUAGUGAUUCUCUGAAGCUUCUUGGACACCAGGGUCAUUGGAAUUCCCCAAGCCAGGACAGGCCGGCUGGCUGAGCAGCCACCUUCCGGCCCCGUGGUCCCGCUCCAAGUCCCAUUUCAUGCACUGAGGACUGCUUUGUCUCUGCUGACACCUGGUUUCCUGCCUCUGCAGUCACAGAGAGGCCUCCCCAUGGAUGACACAUCCCGGCUACCACCACGGCCCAUGUCUCCACCAAAGCUCAAGGCAUUGCCCCCCAAACCUACGUUCUUCUGUGGCUGUCACCCUUCUUUUCCAUGGCUCAGAAGCUAAACGGGAUGAAAUGAUGCUAAUGAUAAUAUAACCAAGGAGAGGUCCAUAUUCUAGACUUUGAUCAGGAAGGGAUUUGAUCCUGUUUUCUCUCUUAUUUCAAGAAUAAGACACAUUUAGUGCUCCAAAAGGUUGUUUAAAAGGAUCACCCAUAAUCCUAACAUCCAGUGAUAAGCAUCUUAACAUUUUAGUGACUAUCUUGUCUGUUUUCUUUCAUAAGUUGUUUUUUUUUUAAACAACAUUAACAGGAAUGUGCUGCCUGGACUGUUUAUAGCCUGCUUUUUCCACUCAACAAUAUAUCACCAGCGCCCCACAUCUAUAAAUGCACUCUCACCACCAGUUUGAGUCCUGCAGAGUAUGCUGUUGUAUAUAUGUUUGGCAAUUAGGAGACCAGUGUCCUUCCAUUCCCCCUCCAAACGCAAUAUUCCCGGAGUCAAUGUUUGCAUUAUUUCCCUAGACUACGAUCUUAGAGGCAGAGCUCUUCAGCCAAAAGAUAUGCAAGCAUAUUAAAAGAUUUAGCUCCAGGACCUCAGGACUUGACAGUACUGAUUAGCACUGCCAUCAAAAGUAUCAAGAGAGGGCGCGGGAUAUAGCUCAGUGGCACAGCACCUGCUGGGAAAGGCAAGGUCCUGAGUUCAAUUCCUGCUACCA
Long non-coding RNA from Cavia porcellus (domestic guinea pig), 1666 nucleotides. RefSeq lists it as uncharacterized. NCBI's taxonomy places the organism in Eukaryota, Metazoa, Chordata, Mammalia, Rodentia, Caviidae. The record is from RefSeq and is a predicted model, not a curated record. The transcript has 4 exons.